This 279-nucleotide ribosomal RNA is filed under the name uncultured Glomus. Its description in RNAcentral is "partial 18S small subunit ribosomal RNA". It matches the Rfam family "Eukaryotic small subunit ribosomal RNA", at positions 591 to 874 of the family's 1831-position model. Lineage: Eukaryota; Fungi; Glomeromycota; Glomeromycetes; Glomerales; Glomeraceae. The record is from RNAcentral.
CCAAUAGCGUAUAUUAAAGUUGUUGCAGUUAAAAAGCUCGUAGUUGAAUUUCGGGGUUAAUAAGUUGGUCGUACCUAUGGUAUGUACUGGCUUUAUUGAUUCCUACCUCUUGACGAACUGUGAUGCCAUUAAUUUGGUGUUGCAAGGAAUCAGGACUGUUACCUUGAAAAAAUUAGAGUGUUUAAAGCAGGCUUACGCUUGAAUACAUUAGCAUGGAAUAAUGAAAUAGGACGUUUGAACCUAUUUUGUUGGUUUCUAGGAUCGACGUAAUGAUUAAUA